UUUCACCCUAGUUUAAUAAGAAUGCACGGUUUGCACUUGUGCGGUGGGGUUAACCCCGGGGGAAAA
Molecule: transfer RNA, 66 nt
Filed under: Armandia sp. GK-2021
Lineage: Eukaryota; Metazoa; Annelida; Polychaeta; Opheliidae
Description: tRNA-Ala
Source: RNAcentral